AGUGAACGCUGGCGGUAGGCCUAACACAUGCAAGUCGAACGGCAGCACAGUAAGAGCUUGCUCUUACGGGUGGCGAGUGGCGGACGGGUGAGGAAUACAUCGGAAUCUACUUUUUCGUGGGGGAUAACGUAGGGAAACUUACGCUAAUACCGCAUACGACCUACGGGUGAAAGCAGGGGAUCUUCGGACCUUGCGCGAUUGAAUGAGCCGAUGUCGGAUUAGCUAGUUGGCGGGGUAAAGGCCCACCAAGGCGACGAUCCGUAGCUGGUCUGAGAGGAUGAGCAGACACACUGGAACUGAGACACGGUCCACACUCCUACGGGAGGCGGCGGUGGGGAAUAUUGGAGAAUGGGCGCAAGCCUGAUCCAGCCAUACAGCGUGGGUGUAGAAGGCCUUCGGGUCGUAAAGCCCUUUUGUUGGGAAAGAAAAGCAGCAGGUUAAUACCCCGCUGUUCUGAGGGUACCCAAAAAAUAAGCACCGGCUAACUUCGUG
RNAcentral lists this ribosomal RNA (492 nucleotides) under uncultured bacterium. Its description in RNAcentral is "partial 16S ribosomal RNA". It matches the Rfam family "Bacterial small subunit ribosomal RNA", at positions 29 to 507 of the family's 1533-position model. The record is from RNAcentral.